AUUGAACGCUGGCGGCAUGCUUUACACAUGCAAGUCGAGCGGCAGCGCGGGGGCAACCCUGGCGGCGAGCGGCGGACGGGUGAGUAAUGCAUCGGAACGUAUCCCGUAGUGGGGGACAACCCAGCGAAAGCUGGGCUAAUACCGCAUAUGCUCUACGGAGGAAAGUGGGGGACCCGCAAGGGCCUCACGCUAUGGGAGCGGCCGAUGUCCGAUUAGCUAGUUGGUGGGGUAAAGGCCCACCAAGGCGACGAUCGGUAGCUGGUCUGAGAGGAUGAUCAGCCACACUGGGACUGAGACACGGCCCAGACUCCUACGGAGGCAGCAGUGGGGAAUUUUGGAC
Molecule: ribosomal RNA, 340 nt
Filed under: uncultured bacterium
Lineage: Bacteria
Description: bacterial SSU rRNA
Rfam family: Bacterial small subunit ribosomal RNA
Source: RNAcentral